RNAcentral lists this ribosomal RNA (580 nucleotides) under Pseudomonas sp. CR6. RNAcentral describes it as "bacterial SSU rRNA". It matches the Rfam family "Bacterial small subunit ribosomal RNA", at positions 8 to 582 of the family's 1533-position model. The record is from RNAcentral. Lineage: Bacteria; Pseudomonadati; Pseudomonadota; Gammaproteobacteria; Pseudomonadales; Pseudomonadaceae.
AGAGUUUGAUCCUGGCUCAGAUUGAACGCUGGCGGCAGGCCUAACACAUGCAAGUCGAGCGGUAGAGAGAAGCUUGCUUCUCUUGAGAGCGGCGGACGGGUGAGUAAUGCCUAGGAAUCUGCCUGGUAGUGGGGGAUAACGUUCGGAAACGGACGCUAAUACCGCAUACGUCCUACGGGAGAAAGCAAGGGACCUUCGGGCCUUGCGCUAUCAGAUGAGCCUAGGUCGGAUUAGCUAGUUGGUGGGGUAAUGGCUCACCAAGGCGACGAUCCGUAACUGGUCUGAGAGGAUGAUCAGUCACACUGGAACUGAGACACGGUCCAGACUCCUACGGGAGGCAGCAGUGGGGAAUAUUGGACAAUGGGCGAAAGCCUGAUCCAGCCAUGCCGCGUGUGUGAAGAAGGUCUUCGGAUUGUAAAGCACUUUAAGUUGGGAGGAAGGGCAGUUACCUAAUACGUAUCUGUUUUGACGUUACCCGACAGAAUAAGCACCGGCUAACUCUGUGCCAGCAGCCGCGGUAAUACAGAGGGUGCAAGCGUUAAUCGGAAUUACUGGGCGUAAAGCGCGCGUAGGUGGGUUC